Molecule: long non-coding RNA, 2266 nt
Organism: Camarhynchus parvulus
Lineage: Eukaryota; Metazoa; Chordata; Aves; Passeriformes; Thraupidae
Exons: 6
Source: RefSeq, a predicted model, not a curated record
CUGCUCGGGUCUCUAGUGGUUUAAGGAUAAUGUUUAUCAGAAGUGAACGUGCUCAACUUGUUUCCAUUCAACUGCUGAGUGUGGGCUGAAAUACCAAAGGUCAGAUCUACAGUGAGUCGGUAGAGGGCAGGGGGAGACGAGAGGAGUAUGAAAACAUAAUAUACAACAGACUGUUGAUCGCUUCUGACCUGCCUGGCAAAAAGAUUAUUUUCUUCAGGAACCAAUUGGGAAUUCCUAGGCAAUUUUCUCCGUUUCUGCCUCCGCUUCUACAACAUCUAGUACCAGUGCCACCUACAGGAAUAAUUGCAUUUUCGAGCUGCUUUCAAGUAACCAGAAUUCCGCAUUUGAGAGUCCUGGUAGCUCUGUCUAUCGUCCUCCUGGACGCACAGCAGCAAGACUGCUUCGAAAGGCGCUGUUUGUCUUCGUGGCUUUCGUCUGAGAUCACGGACUGAUGCAGGUUCGCUGCUCUGUACCCCGGCAGUGGGAGUGACGGAGCCCUUCCCGCGGAACCCGGGAGACGCAGCCGGCCAAGAUCAUAUUUGUCUCACUGCAAAGAUGCAAGCCUGAAAACCUUUCCACUGAUUCCUGGGGCAACAAUCCCUUCGAGUUGAUCACAGUGCAUGGAAAGAAGAAGUCCUCUCAGACAAGCUAGUGUGUUAAAGCCACCAAGGUGAUCUGCUGUGCCCAGCUGUGGGCAGAAGGCUGCCUUCCCUGCACUGCCAAGUCACAUCCAACUCCAUAUUGCAAGGUGCUGAGUAACAACUCACGAUCCCUAUCAAGUAAUGGCUCCAGGGUUUGUUUACCAACAUCCACUGGAGACUCCAGCUUUCUGUAGAAACAGAAACUGAGCCCAGGCUUAUCCAGGAAGCCCAAAAGUCCACAUGGGCACAUCCCUAGAGAAGACAGCCGCAGCUCAGCCUCCUGCUUUACCUCUUGGACUGCUGUGUCCCUCUGAGACAGACUCCAUUGAGAUCUCUGUGAAAUGAAUGAUGUGACUUAACAGUAUCAUACAAGCUGUUCCAAGAAUAUCAGCAAGGCAAUGGAAAAUGGCAGGAGGUCUGGAGACUUUCCUGAGAAGGUUUUACCCAGUGAUGGAAAAUAUAUUUGUGUUAUUACUUUAGCACAAGUGUCUUCUAUAAUGCUAAGGUUUGCUUUCAAAUAAAACAUAAAUUGCACAUCUGGUUGGAAGAAAUAAAUGCAAUAGUGCUUCAAAGACUAUCUGUCGGGCUUAAAAAGCAAAGAGAUGAGGAUUUAUUGGUGUUUUUAUUAUUAACAUAAAAGCCUUGGGAUCUCAAAAUAGACGAGGGUUAUAGGUAAAUAUGGGUUUUAUUUUCUUUUUUGUUCGCCUUAACAUAUUAUUAGCAUCAAGCUAAAAAAGGAUUAUCUGAAUGUUAGUAUGUUUACUGUGUGCACAUGGAUGUUAGCUUAAUCAAUACACAGAUGUAGAAGACUGUAGAGAAAAGUAUGCGCUACAAUCAUAUUCAUCAUCUUAAACAUUUCAGACAGCAUCUUCAUUCUGGAGAUAUUGUUGGCUUAAGAAACCCCAGUCGUGUACUUCCCCAGUCUUUCAAGACUUUUGUGAAGCAGCAGUGGGUGGCUUCUGUGCAAAGGCUUGGAAUGGACAUCUAUUUGCAAAUGAACAAGCAAUGAAGGAAGUGGGAGUUUCUAGAGUAGAUUACUUAUAAAAUUAAAAUUUGAGGAAGUUUGGGUAAAAAUAAAAUGUCCAAAUCAGCAAAUAUUUGGUGGCUUGAAGACAUACACAUUAGAUUUCCUGCCUGAGCUGCUGGUGACUUCAGCCUCCUUUCCAGAAGAAAAUUAUGCUAUGCAAUGUUGGUUAAAGCCUUGCAUGAGUCACUCCAAGGUGUUAGAGGGGGCUGUACAAAUCCUGGUCCCCGCUUUCUCCUAAAAAUUGUCUGCAAGAGGUUCAAUUUUGCCGUGUCAGGACUGGGUUGAAUCUUUCAUAGGAUUUAAAUUAAAUCCUUGGCAACUACUUUCUGAUUUUAUAGCAAAAUCUGAGCUAUGUGUUAAAGUGGGGACAUUGUUUUGCUGGGAUAUUGCUUAAUUACUAAAUGAAGAAAUAUUAAGUACAAAUUUAAUGACUCAUACAAUAUUUCCAAACGACAUGUACUAUAAAGUCCCAUUUACAUCUACCACACUGGUGUUUAAUUCACUUUCCAUUAUUCCUGAGGCUAUUAAUGUCAGUAAUUACAGCAGGUAACAUGUCUAAUAUUGAGUGUAUUGUGGAAUAAAGCAAUGUUGAGCUCCU